AUUGAACGCUGGCGGCAUGCUUUACACAUGCAAGUCGAACGGUAACAGGCCGCAAGGUGCUGACGAGUGGCGAACGGGUGAGUAAUGCAUCGGAACGUGCCCAGUCGCGGGGGAUAACUACUCGAAAGAGUAGCUAAUACCGCAUACGAUCUAUGGAUGAAAGCGGGGGACCGUAAGGCCUCGCGCGAUUGGAGCGGCCGAUGUCAGAUUAGGUAGUUGGUGGGGUAAAGGCUCACCAAGCCAACGAUCUGUAGCUGGUCUGAGAGGACGACCAGCCACACUGAGACUGAGACACGGCCCAGACUCCUACAGGAAGCAGCAGUGGGGAAUUUUGGACAAUGGGCGCAAGCCUAAUCCAGCAAUGCCGCGUGCAGGAAGAAGGCCUUCGGGUUGUAAACUGCUUUUGUACGGAACGAAACGGCUCUGGUUAAUACCCGGGGCUAAUGACGGUACCGUAAGAAUAAGCACCGGCUAACUACGUG
RNAcentral lists this ribosomal RNA (482 nucleotides) under uncultured bacterium. RNAcentral's name for it is "partial 16S ribosomal RNA". It matches the Rfam family "Bacterial small subunit ribosomal RNA", at positions 30 to 507 of the family's 1533-position model. The record is from RNAcentral.